Lepus europaeus (European hare) is the source of this 637-nucleotide long non-coding RNA. RefSeq lists it as uncharacterized. The record is from RefSeq and is a predicted model, not a curated record. Lineage: Eukaryota; Metazoa; Chordata; Mammalia; Lagomorpha; Leporidae. The transcript has 3 exons.
UCGCCAGCAGAGACCUCAGGUCAGCUAGAACUAGGCAUGAGGUUGCGCCAUCUGCCCCAGUGGCUGGAUUUCCACCAUGAAGGCACAGUUCAGUUAUCAUGUUGACUGGUUGUGUGUUAACCUGGCGAGGACUGGAGAAAUGGGUGUUGACAGCUUGGGGUGUUAACCUGGAGCCGUGUCGAGAUGGAGCAGGGCAGCCAGGAUAGUGCUUGCUCAGUGCUGCACACCUCGGCUCAGCGGGGCUGCGUGCUCCUUCACUCGCUCUGUCAUUCCUUUCCACACUUCGCCUUCUUUGGAUCUGUGACCUCCAGGGCUGAAAAUCCAACAACGAACGAGACAUUUUCCUAGUGCUUCUAAGUAGGGGCCAGGCCAGUAAGCAAGAAUGACCAAGGGACGGUUAGAGCCACACCGAACACACGCAUGCUGAAUCCGGAGCCCUGCGGGCACGAGUAGGAGAGGUGCAGCGACCGCUGUGGGCCGAGCCCUAAACACGUGUGACUGGAUUAUCUGAGGCUGGUGCUGUGGCAUAGUGGUGCUGGAGUCCCAUACAGGCGCCAGUUUGGAUGGAAGACCCCCACCCCCGACCCUGCCUUGCCUCUCUGUAACUCUGUCUUUCAAAUAAAGAAAUCUUUAGAAA